RNAcentral lists this ribosomal RNA (115 nucleotides) under Simkaniaceae bacterium. Lineage: Bacteria; Pseudomonadati; Chlamydiota; Chlamydiia; Parachlamydiales; Simkaniaceae. The record is from RNAcentral.
CUUGGUGACCGUAGAGAGAGGGAAACACCUGAUCCCAUGUCGAACUCAGCAGUUAAGCUUCUCAUCGCCGAUGGUACCGUGCACUAGAGUAUGGGAGAGUAGGUCGUCGCCAAGU